CCUACGGGAGGCAGCAGUGAGGAAUAUUGGUCAAUGGGCGGAAGCCUGAACCAGCCAAGUAGCGUGCAGGAUGACGGCCCUAUGGGUUGUAAACUGCUUUUAUACGGGAAUAACGCGCCUUACGUGUAGGGCUUUGCAUGUACCGUAUGAAUAAGGACCGGCUAAUUCCGUGCCAGCAGCCGCGGUAAUACGGAAGGUCAGGGCGUUAUCCGGAUUUAUUGGGUUUAAAGGGAGCGUAGGCCGCAUGUCAAGCGUGCUGUGAAAUGUCCGGGCUCAACCCGGGCCUUGCAGAGCGAACUGGCGUGAGUGAGUCCGCGGAAGGCAGGUGGAAUUCGUCGUGUAGCGGUGAAAUGCUUAGAUAUGACGAAGAACACCGAUGGCGAAGGCAGCUUGCUGCAGCGGAACUGACGCUGAUGCUCGAAAGCGCGGGUAGCGAACAGGAUUAGAUACCCCAGUAGUC
Molecule: ribosomal RNA, 460 nt
Filed under: uncultured bacterium
Lineage: Bacteria
Description: partial 16S ribosomal RNA
Rfam family: Bacterial small subunit ribosomal RNA
Source: RNAcentral